GCCUGGGUGGCUCAGUCGGUUGAGCGUCUGACUUCAGCUCAGGUCAUGGUCUCCAGUUCAUGAGUUCGAGCCCCAUGUUGGGCU
Molecule: transfer RNA, 84 nt
Filed under: Felis catus (domestic cat)
Lineage: Eukaryota; Metazoa; Chordata; Mammalia; Carnivora; Felidae
Also listed under: 4 other names
Rfam family: tRNA
About the family: Transfer RNA (tRNA) molecules are approximately 80 nucleotides in length. Their secondary structure includes four short double-helical elements and three loops (D, anti-codon, and T loops).
Source: Rfam by way of RNAcentral